Molecule: ribosomal RNA, 240 nt
Filed under: Bacillus pumilus
Lineage: Bacteria; Bacillati; Bacillota; Bacilli; Caryophanales; Bacillaceae
Description: partial 16S ribosomal RNA
Rfam family: Bacterial small subunit ribosomal RNA
Source: RNAcentral
AGGCAUGGUGGCGUGCAUAUACAUGCAAGUCGAGCGGACAGAAGGGAGCUUGUUCCCGGAUGUUAGCGGCGGACGGGUGAGAAAAACGUGGGUAACCUGCCUGUAAGACUGGGAUAACUCCGGUUAAACCGGAGCUAAUACCGGAUAGUUCCUUGAACCGCAUGGUUCAAGGAUGAACGACGGUUUCUGCUGUCACUUACAGAUGGACCCGUGGCUCAUUUCCUUGUUGGUGGGGUAUUG